Molecule: ribosomal RNA, 446 nt
Filed under: uncultured bacterium
Lineage: Bacteria
Description: partial 16S ribosomal RNA
Rfam family: Bacterial small subunit ribosomal RNA
Source: RNAcentral
CCUACGGGAGGCAGCAGUCGAGAAUCAUUCACAAUGGGGGAAACCCUGAUGGUGCGACGCCGCGUGGGGGAAUGAAGGUCUUCGGAUUGUAAACCCCUGUCAUGUGGGAGCAAAUUAAAAAGAUAGUACCACAAGAGGAAGAGACGGCUAACUCUGUGCCAGCAGCCGCGGUAAUACAGAGGUCUCAAGCGUUGUUCGGAAUCACUGGGAGUAAAGCGUGCGUAGGCUGUUUCGUAAGUCGUGUGUGAAAGGCGCGGGCUCAACCCGCGGACGGCACAUGAUACUGCGAGACUAGAGUAAUGGAGGGGGAACCGGAAGUCUCGGUGUAGCAGUGAAAUGCGUAGAUAUCGAGAGGAACACUCGUGGCGAAGGCGGGUUCCUAGACAUUAACUGACGCUGAGGCACGAAGGCCAGGGGAGCGAAAGGGAUUAGAUACCCCUGUAGUC